GAUGAACGCUGGCGGCGUGCCUAAUACAUGCAAGUCGAGCGAACAGACGAGGAGCUUGCUCCUCUGACGUUAGCGGCGGACGGGUGAGUAACACGUGGAUAACCUACCUAUAAGACUGGGAUAACUUCGGGAAACCGGAGCUAAUACCGGAUAAUAUAUUGAACCGCAUGGUUCAAUAGUGAAAGACGGUUUUGCUGUCACUUAUAGAUGGAUCCGCGCCGCAUUAGCUAGUUGGUAAGGUAACGGCUUACCAAGGCGACGAUGCGUAGCCGACCUGAGAGGGUGAUCGGCCACACUGGGACUGAGACACGGUCCAGACUCCUACGGGAGGCAGCAGUAGGGAAUCUUCCGCAAUGGGCGAAAGCCUGACGGAGCAACGCCGCGUGAGUGAUGAAGGUCUUCGGAUCGUAAAACUCUGUUAUUAGGGAAGAACAAAUGUGUAAGUAACUAUGCACGUCUUGACGGUACCUAAUCAGAAAGCCACGGCUAACUACGUGC
Molecule: ribosomal RNA, 498 nt
Filed under: uncultured bacterium
Lineage: Bacteria
Description: partial 16S ribosomal RNA
Rfam family: Bacterial small subunit ribosomal RNA
Source: RNAcentral